UGUUCUUUUUAGAAGAGUACUAUCCAAAACAUAAAAUGACUCGAAGUUUCCACUUAGAAUAUGCAUACAUCACUUCUGCUCAAAUCCCAUUGGGGCCCAAAGAAGUUCAUCAGUACAUGGAAACGUUCAAGGCCCCUGCAUAGGUUCAAGCCUGAAGGAGUAAUCCGAGGAACUAAUGGGGAGAGGCUUGGACAUGCUGUGAGGAAAAGAUACUGGGAAAAGCUGCAGACAUCUACCGUAGACACAGGACGAAAAGCAGGACGCCAUUUUUAAUCCAGGUCCUUCCUCAGGAAAGGACCUUUGGGCAGCAAGGAAGGAAGGAAGGAAGGAAGGAAAGAAGGAAGAAAGGAAGGAGAAAAAUAAAUUAUCCAAGAACUGAAACUCACCAGAUCACCACAUCCGUUCAACUUAUGGCCCAAGAAAAUAGAAGUCAGAAUCAAAAUCCAGCAUGCAGAACUUGUUGUAAAACAUGGCAGUACAGGCAGUAUAUCUCUCCACAUUGUGUCUGAAUUUGGAGGAGGGAACAUGAGUAAGGCGUGCCUUUCACCUUCUUCCACGAUUAUGAGGACUGCCAGCCACUUGGAACUGCUCUCAAAAAGUACCAGAAGUAACUCAUGAGUAAGUUACUCAACCAGGAAAAGCACAUAGAGAAGCUACUGCUGCUGCCAUUCUGCAUUGGGAAGCUCAUCAAACACAUCAUGGGUAUUAUAGGACUUGCUACAUUGGUCUUUGCUAGCUUCAAUGCCUGGAAUGCAAACUUCGGGUCCCUUGUUAGUAGAAAGAUGCACAGAUGCGGCUCUGUUGACUCAGUUGUUUAAAUACAUAUUGUCAAACAAAAUAUUUGCAGCACUGAUGCCAAGUUCCUCCUGACAUUCACAAUAAUAUUGAAUUUGACUCAACCAAACAAGUGUGACAAUAUGUGGAAUAAAAUUUCAUCUAGGUUUUAU
Molecule: long non-coding RNA, 947 nt
Filed under: Homo sapiens (human)
Lineage: Eukaryota; Metazoa; Chordata; Mammalia; Primates; Hominidae
Description: long non-coding RNA NONHSAT198478.1
Source: RNAcentral